GAAAAGAACAAGGGGAGCUUGCGAAAAGCAGGCUGAGAGUAAGCUGUAUGCUUAGACCCAUAACCUGAUUUGGAUAAUGCCAACGUAGGAAAAUACCCGGUAGAAGUU
Molecule: non-coding RNA, 108 nt
Filed under: Lachnospiraceae bacterium 9_1_43BFAA
Lineage: Bacteria; Bacillati; Bacillota; Clostridia; Lachnospirales; Lachnospiraceae
Also listed under: 1 other name
Description: TPP riboswitch aptamer (THI element)
Rfam family: TPP riboswitch aptamer (THI element)
About the family: Vitamin B(1) in its active form thiamin pyrophosphate (TPP) is an essential coenzyme that is synthesised by coupling of pyrimidine and thiazole moieties in bacteria. The previously detected thiamin-regulatory element, thi box was extended, resulting in a new, highly conserved RNA secondary structure, the THI element, which is widely distributed in eubacteria and also occurs in some archaea. Analysis of operon structures identified a large number of new candidate thiamin-regulated genes, mostly transporters, in various prokaryotic organisms.
Source: Rfam by way of RNAcentral